Long non-coding RNA from Vigna angularis (adzuki bean), 5902 nucleotides. RefSeq lists it as uncharacterized. NCBI's taxonomy places the organism in Eukaryota, Viridiplantae, Streptophyta, Magnoliopsida, Fabales, Fabaceae. The record is from RefSeq and is a predicted model, not a curated record. The transcript is spliced from 3 exons.
GUGAUUUCCUGGUCACGUUGCUCUAGUGCCUGCGUGAGGCGGAGAACGACCUCGUGAGGAGCAGUGGUGGAAGAAGAAGGUUGGUGCUUCAGAGUACCUCCUCUCGAUGUUGUAUAGUUUGCAGCAAGUUGUCCUGCACCGUACACUCGUCCCUUUUUCUUCCCACCAACGAUGUCGAUCCAACACUGUGUCCUACGGAUGUCAUCUUCUGCAUUACUGCCAUCAUCCGGUGUAGGAGCUGACUCAUGUUCAGAUCUAACCUGUGAAAGUCUCGUAGAAAAUUCUUCCUAUUGAAACAUUAAAAGCAAUGUUAGGGAAUGAUAGAAUAACAUAAAUGAAAAAUUAGUAAUAGUAAUAGUAUUAUUUGCUUACAUGAGUCUUCUGAGAUCUUUCAUCAACGAAUUGAUUAGUGCCCUUCCUUACAUGAGUUUGUGCAAAGACCUCAUCAACAUGGACCGCCCGUCCCAGAGCUUGUGCCUGUAACAUAAUUUAGAAUUAGAAGUGUACAUAUGAAAUAGAAAAUACAUAACUUAUAUAUGAAAGAAAAGUUAUGUAAUGAAAUUAUACCAUACGAAUGGCAUGCUCAUGAAUGGUUAUCGACCCACCAGUAUGUAGGGUGCCACCCUUUUCAGAUGCUCUGUUCCUCUAGGCUUUGGCACACUUAUUGCGAAACUCUAAUGUAUUCCAAUGAGCCAGUAAAGAGUUCCAAAUUUGUUCACCCAGCCAGUAAGGGCGCUGUCCUCCAUUGCGGGCAUCCCUAAACAUCUCUGACAGCCAAUGAGAUGCUUUCAUGUGGAAAUUUCUGUGUAUCUGUGUUUCAUGUUUAGGUUUCCACUGCAUCUUCAUCUGUAACAUUAAACAGAACAAACAUUGAAUAAUGAACAUACUAAAAUAAGAGGGACAAUUAGUUUAAUGGAUUGUUCAUCUGAAAGCGCUCCCAGAAUGGCUUUUUUUCGUCAUCAGGUAUUGCUCCCCAAGUAGGUCAUGGACUUAAAAAAUUGUUACUUAAUUGAACGUGUGAUGGCCUGGGAAGCAAUCCUAGAUGGAAUAAACCUGCAUAAUAAAAGUCAUUUGAAUUACAAUAGGGUUUAAACAUCAAAUUAUAUCAAGAGAUUAAAAUCUUACCCUUUACCAUACGGCUCAAUCCAUGGUCGAUCAUGGAGGGGCGGGUCAAGACCUUCACCAUCACCACUUGAGUCUGGAUCAGCAGAUGGUGUGACAGUCUCAGAAGGCGGUAUACAAGAUGAGGAAGGUAUAGAAGUAGGGUCAGGGAGAGGAGUGGAGGUAAUAACCACAGGGGGAGGAGUGGGGGUUAUAAUCACAGGAGGAGGAAGAGGGUCUGCUGUAGGGGUAGUAGAAUGGUGUGCUGCAGAAGUAGGAGAAGGGUGUACUACAGGGGUAGGAUAAGGGUGUAUUGCAGAGGUAGGAGUAGGGUCUACUGCAGGGGUAGGAGGCUGUAUUGUAGGGGGUAGGAGGAGGCCCCACAGAUGAUGUACUGCAGGUAGCAGUGGUAGGUAGUUUAGCAGGCACCCUAAGUACAUACUUUGGUGCCUGCUGUUGCCUCUUUCUAGGCCUUGCUAGCCCCUUUCCUUUAUCAGGACGUUUUGAACCUUGUCCUGUCAUUGCUGCAUUGAAAUGGUUACAAAUAAAGCGAAAAAAUAGAAAUGAAUAAGGAAGGAUCAAUGGUUUUUAAAGUCAAUGUAUAAAUAAUUGCAUAAAACUUUUAAGAUGGUAUUUUAGAUAACUCUAUUCAAAUGAUAGUUCAAUUUGCUACAAUAGAUGUCCAACAUUCAAUCGUCGUCAUCAUGAUCUUCAUCUUCAUCUUCUUCUUCUUCAUCAUUGUCAUUAUCAUCAUCGUCUUCUUCUUCUUCUUCUUCGUGGUCAUCAUCAUCAUCAUCAUCAUUUUCUUCUUCUUCUUCUUCUUCUUCUUCUUCCUCUUCUUCUUGUUCUUCAUCACCUUGUAUUAUUGCUUCUAAUUCAUCUCCAUCACCAUCAGGGUCGACCAAUGCGGUUAUACGUUCAACUUCAAUAAUUUCUUGUGGUUGUGACAUUUGGUCAAGUUGGUAGGCAACAUCUUCCUCAACCUCAUUUGAGUCAAUGCGACCUCUAGGCUUGGUUUGUAUUGCUACGGCCCAACCACGCUUGUCAAUAUUACGAAAUGGUGGAUAUGGCACAUAAUAAACCUGUCUGACAUUAGUUGGUAGAAUGAAAGGAUCAAACGGUCCAUAUCUUAAACUCUGGUUGAGUUUGACAAUAUUAAAGCGUGGAUCCACUCUAGUACCAGCUCUAGAAGGAUCAAACCAUUCACAAUAAAAAAGUACUACUCUGUUUCGAGAAGUAGUGUUGUUGUACUCUAGCUCAUAUAUUUUAUGAAUGAUGCCGUAGAAAUCAUCAUAACAACCCUUUGUUAGGCCCUUGACAUACACACCACAAUUUGAUGUUUUCUUUCCUUUAGACCAUUCAUGUGUAUGGAAUUUGUAACCAUUGGUGAAGUAAGUGUGCCAUUCUUUGACACAUCUCAUUGGCCAAUUCGAGAGAUGUCUUAACUCUUGAACCGUGGGAGUUAAUGCCUGAUUAAAAACCUACAAAGGUAAUAACAAAAUUAUAAAAGAAAGAGUCAAAUUAACCUUGCUCUAAAUGUAGGAAAAAUUACGGACCUGAUUAACAUACAUCCAUUAACACAACAAUCAAUCUUCUUGACUUCCGAUCCCAACUUUGAAACACAUUUUUUGGCUUGGUAAUAAUUCUUCGGCAUGAAAUUGUUUGGUGGUGUCAAAUCUAACAUCAAUUUUGUAUAGAAGUCCACUGCUUGAACGGGAACGUUCCAAUUAGAUUUGCCAGCCAUGAGUCUAAUGCACACUGACAAUUUUGACUCAGAUGAACCUUCAAAUACAGGUAGAUUUGCCUCUGUAAGUAAAUUGUAAAACCUCUGCGUCGUUUCAUUUGCAGGCUCUUCAUCAUGACUAUCGUCUGCUUCUUCAGCAUGGUGACGAAGAGCAUUGUCGACCAUCUCUUGCAUAUAGGCAAAUUGAUCUAUCUCAGAUGUAUGUACAAUAGUAUUCGAACCUGAUGCAAGCCGUUUAAUAGCUGCAGUGGAGGUCGAAGGAAUUUCUUCACCAUGAAAUGUCCAGACCGUGUAAUUAGGCAUGAACCCUUUUUGGUAAAGGUGAACUUUGACGACUUCAUCUUUCAAAAUCCUUGUACAUUCGCACUUGAUGCAUGGACAUCGAAUCCCUCCAUCAAGGGGAUAAUAUUGACAUCGUCGGGCCGUCUCCACGAACUCUUCAACUCCGAUGACAAAAGAUUCCUUCAAACAUCUCCUUCCACUAUAACAACGAUCAUACAUCCAUCCACGAUGGUUGGGAAAAUGGGCCAUGUUCUGUGACAAGCCAAAGAAAUCAAAACUUAGCCAAAACAGCAACACUCCAUGUGACAUAAGUAAUAAACCUAUUACUACUCAAGUCAAACAUGGAAGGCAAUUUCAACACUAUUGUCAUAGGCAUUCAAUAAGGGCAUGCAAAGACAAGUCCUCAGUAUUGAAAUGCCUUUGACAUCCUAAGUGGUUGUGUAUACAAUUUGGGGGAGACAAUAAUCUGACAUUACUAAAGUUCUCUAGUACUUUCACAUAUUUUGUACAUUGUAAGUGUUUAAGGUACUAUUACCCUUCUCAUUCUACUGAGAAUGUUUUUAGUAACAUACGACUUUAAAUGACUACUUAACCUUAUCAAGGAGUAGCCUAAUAAAUGAACAUACAAUAUACACGAGCAUACAAUAUAUACAUCAACAUACAACAUAUAGAUGAACAUUCACUGGUGGUCUAAAUGCAGGUUUGAUAACAAAUUUGUCCAAGGAAAUAAAAUUCUCACCUACUUUAGUCUAUUUAUAGUUCUUUUAUCUUUUAAAAGUGGUGUAGAUAGUUAGUUUACUGUUUUCAACUCUACUUUAAUAUACUUUUCGGUCUUUGGAAUUGUAGUGUAUUUUAGGUACUACUUUUAGGUUUCUAAGUUGACAAAUUUUGAGUUCUAGGUAUUUUAUGUAGUGUGAGUGCUUAAAUAGCUACGUUCUACCAUUCUUAACUUGUUAGGAUAGUUUAUUUGUAGUAUAUUUUCCUAGUUUAGUGCAGUUUGCAAAAUUAGUACAAUAUUUUUCAGUUUUAAGUAGUGAUUUUUAGCUAUUUCAUCUAAUUUCUGUUUAACUCCACCUUGUUGCUGUUUUCCGGGUUGGUCUUCUGCACUUACACACUCUAGUACAGUCACUUUUAACAUUGCCUAGUUAAUUGAAUGUUAUAAACUCACUUUUGGUGGUGUGAGGGAGUGAUUAUUUUGCAGUUUUGGCCAUAACAAAGUCAGAUAUAGAAGUCUACCAUUUGUAUGUUGUGUCACAGUUUGAGCAAGUCUAAAGUGAGCAAGUCUAAAGUGAUCUUUAAAAGUUGGUAGCAGAGUUCAAUUACUGAUAUAAUGGUCUAAGUGCAUAAUAGUAUACUAAACCAUCAAAAUUUAGUCAAAAAUGGGAACUGACAAGGUGUUUUUUAGUAACAGUUUGGAUGGACCAGAAACUAAUGUAUAUAAUAUGUGAGAUAAACAAUAAUACAUAACUUUAACUAUAUUUUAAUGCUUGAGGGAUUAAAGUAGUAUAAUAUUAUGAAUAAAGGAAAAUUUUGAAACAUCACGUGAAAGUGGAAAAGCAUGGAGAAAUAAUGGAAUGCAAAAUUAUGAAUAAAGGAAAAGGGUCCAGUACGCACAUUAGAGGGAAUCCAACUGCCACCCAAAUUAAAAGGUAUGGCUUUCACGUGAAAAGCAAAGAGCAACGGUGUGCACGAUUGGAAGACAUUCACGACUGGAAUAAAAAUUAAAUGCAGAUGCCAAUUCACUUAAUACAAUUUCCCAUUCAGAAAGUGCAUGGAAGUGGGCAGCCGCCCCCACAUUGUCCACCACUUGUGAACACACAGAUUCUUCAUUUUGAAGAAACGUCCAAGAACUCAUGGGCAUCCAUCAUUCACAUUAUCAGCAACCACCGAGAAAGGAGAGCUGCUACACUUGAGAGGCAAGCAUUCCAGCAAACAUCACAAGACCAGAGAAGAAGGAAAGGCCGUGAAGCAGUAGCACAUGAAGACCUCACGGCCUUGGCCCACAUAAAAGGUGAAAUUGUUUGUCACAGCUUGGAGUAAAAUCAGCAAAGGCUAUUGGAAGCAGCUCACGGAUCCAUUCUUCACCACCUCCUCACCAACCAGCAAACAUCCAUCCAAUAAUCCAGCAAACAUCCAUCCAAGGAAGAGCUGAAAAAUGGAGGACCCUUCUUGUUCUUGUUUGGAUUGAAGAAGGAUGGAAGAAGUUGGCCACACCAGACGAAAAAGAAGGCAGCAAACACACAUGCUACUGGAAGUCCACUGGAAAAGAUACAAAGGUGUACUAUAGAGGCAGAGCUCCUCAAGGAAUCAGAACUGAUUGGGUAAUGCAUGAGUAUUGCCUUGAUGACAAAGAGUGUGAAGACACCACUGGAUUACAAUUUUUGUGAUGAAUGAAAACAGUGUGAAAGCAUGGGACCAGUGGAGAAGAAGCUUGAGGAAAUGGAGAUAGAAUACGCGCGUGGAAUGGUGGAAGAAGGCAGGAUCAAAGUGGAUCAAAUGUUUUUUCAUGACCCAGAUGGGUUCAUGAUUGAGAUAUGCAACUGUGAUAUCCUUCCCGUGAUUCCCUUACCAAGUGACAUGGUUAGGUCAUGCUCUAGAAUGAACCUUCAAAUGCUUCAACAGAGACAGACACACCAAAUUGUGAAACAGGACUCAGCUUUAAUGUUAUCUUGAGUAUUUCGCUAGUUAUGCUUAUUGAAAUUGGCUUUUUAGGUGUACCAGUAGCUUUUUACUCUGAUCCAGUAUUUGAUAUCAGUUUUCAUAAUCAACAGAUAU